This 274-nucleotide ribosomal RNA is filed under the name uncultured bacterium. RNAcentral describes it as "partial 16S ribosomal RNA". It matches the Rfam family "Bacterial small subunit ribosomal RNA", at positions 523 to 796 of the family's 1533-position model. The record is from RNAcentral.
AUACGGAGGGUGCAAACGUUGUUCGGAAUUACUGGGCGUAAAGGGCACGCAGGCGGCCUGGGAAGUCUUGGGUGAAAGCCCCCAGCUCAACUGGGGAAUGGCCUGAGAAACCACUGGGCUGGAGUGCUGGAGAGGGAAGCGGAAUUCCCGGUGGAGCGGUGAAAUGCGUAGAUAUCGGGAGGAACACCAGAGGCGAAGGCGGCUUCCUGGACAGACACUGACGCUGAGGUGCGAAAGCUAGGGGAGCAAACGGAAUUAGAAACCCCGGUAGUCC